UUGUUAGGUCUCGACUUCUUC
Molecule: non-coding RNA, 21 nt
Filed under: Arabidopsis thaliana (thale cress)
Lineage: Eukaryota; Viridiplantae; Streptophyta; Magnoliopsida; Brassicales; Brassicaceae
Source: RNAcentral